This is an RNA transcript of Bufo bufo (common toad), 6423 nucleotides long. It is a transcript of the gene named RNA binding motif protein 26, with no coding region annotated. NCBI's taxonomy places the organism in Eukaryota, Metazoa, Chordata, Amphibia, Anura, Bufonidae. The record is from RefSeq and is a predicted model, not a curated record. The transcript is spliced from 25 exons.
UCCUGGUGUCGCGAGCUCUGGUGGCGGCCAUCUUACACCGCUGGCUUCAUCCUUGCAUUGGAGGAGUUGUGUUUUACCAUUGGUAACGUUACCGGGCCGGGUAGAGUUUUAUUCACCGCUGGGACCACAGGGGAGGCGACCUGUCUGCGCGGUGACACGAAGUGCUGCCCUGAGCCUGACGCGACACCCGCAGGCCUGACUUCUGCGUUACCGCUCCAGCUCCUCUCCGGCCCCGGGAGAGAGGCACAAACAUGAUCAUAGAGGACGUCGAGGCCUUAAAGCACUGGCUGUCUAAGACCUUGGAGCCCAUCUGUGACGCUGAUCCAUCAGCCCUUGCAAAAUACGUUGCUGCGUUGGUGAAGAAAGAUAAGAGUGACGGAGAGCUGAAGGCCCUGUGUAUAGAUCAGCUGGAUGUUUUUCUUCAGAGAGAAACACCAAGCUUUGUAGACAAAUUAUUUGAAGCUGUGAACACAAAGAGCUAUCUCCCACCCCCUGAACCUACAUCCACAGUAAUUGUUAAAGAAGACCCCUUAGAAAACCAAGAAAAAGAACCAAAGAUAGAAGAGGUACCCAAAGACGAUGAAAAAGAAAAAAAACCUUUAAGAAGAGUGACCCAUAGCCCGCAGCCAUCUACUGCACGACACAGAGAAAAUAAGGAAAAUAAUAGAAAACGAAGUAACUCUGACAGGGAGAGCACGUCUGUUACGUCUUUUAGAUCAGGAGGUCAGGAACAGAAACCAGAUAUUGAUACUACAUCAGGCCGCCUAAGUGGAAGCAAAGUGCAGACUUCAAAGAAUACAAGGAGUAGGGAAGACCGAAAAAAAGAUGACCGUUCUCGUAAAAGGGAGCAUGAGCGGAUCCUGCCCCGGAGAGAUUCCUACAGGGAUAGAUACAACAGACGAAGGGGGCGAAGUCGUAGUUACAGCAGAAGUCGUAGUCGCAGUUGGAGUAAAGAAAGGCAACGUGAUCGAGACAGGGAUAGAAGCCGGAGUCGAACAAGAAGUAGAACAAGGAGCAGAGACAAGGAUUCCGGAAGACCUAAAUAUAAUCUUGAGCGGUCAGAUCCCUCAGAUGACGGUUACCAGACCACUACCCCGGUACCUCACAUUGGAUCGGCACAUUAUCCUGUACCGACGCUAAGCAGCACUAUCACAGUGAUAACACCUUCACAUCAUGGCAAUAAUUCAGCGGAAAAUUGGCAAGAAUUCCAUGAAGACCAAGUGGACCACAGCAAUUAUGGAAGACCUCCCAUGCCCAAGAAACGCUGCAGAGACUAUGAUGAGAAAGGAUUUUGCAUGCGAGGUGAUCUGUGUCCAUUUGAUCAUGGCAGCGAUCCUGUAGUUGUUGAAGAUGUGAAUCUACCUGGAAUACUUCCAUUCCCUGCACAGCCACCUGUUGUAGAUGGACCACCCCCACCAGGACUUCCACCUCCUCCAUCACUUUUAACCCCUCCCCCUGUAAAUUUACGACCGCCAGUUCCUCCACCGGGUCCUCUCCCACCCAGCCUUCCACCUGUUACAGUAAUGCAGGCACAUAUGAACAUGCGACCAACACAGAUGCCUUCAGCUGCCAGCGCACAUGUAACAGGCCCCCCUCCGCCUCUUCCACCUUUACAGCCGGCUGGAAUGGAUGCUCCUCCGAAUUCAGCCACAAGCUCUGUCCCUACUGUAGUGACUACUGGCAUUCAUCAUCCUCCUCCCCCUGGUGCUCCACCUCCACUUUUUUCCUCAGGACCUAUUCCUUUAUUUCCAGAAACAUAUGAUUCUGAUGGUUACAAUCCAGAAGCGCCAAGCAUGACAAAUACUUCAAGACCUAUGUACAGACAUCGUGUGCAUGCCCAGAGGCCAAAUUUAAUAGGCCUGACUUCUGGAGACAUGGAUUUACCACCAAGAGAAAAGCCAGUGAACAAUAAUAUGAGAAUUGUCGUGGACUCUGAUCCUCGGAAAAGAAACCUUCCACCCCCAGACUCUGGAAUACUUCAGAAAAUACCCCGGUUUGAAAAGCCAAAUUUCAUCAGAAUGAACGCCCCUGCCUUUCAGAAGAAAGUUGCAUUUGGAAAUGAAAAUACGAAGCUUGAGCUGAGGAGAAUUCCUUCGGAGCUGAAUAACAUCAGUAAACUGAAUGAGCAUUUCAGUAAAUUUGGAACACUGGUGAAUCUGCAGGUUGCAUACGAAGGAGAUCCUGAAGGUGCUUUAAUUCAGUUUGCAACACAUGCUGAAGCCAAGAAGGCCAUCUCGAGCACAGAAGCUGUUCUGAAUAACCGGUUUAUUAAGAUGUAUUGGCACAGAGAAGGCUCUGCUCUUCAAACAAAAGCUCCAAAUGCUCCAAAGGUUGGCCAGCUUAAUGUUCAGCCUCCAAACUUGGCAGUUGUCAAACAGUCCGUCAAAGAACGCCUAGGACCAGUUCCUUCCAAUAACACGGAGCCAGCUGAGGCACAGAGUGCUAAUACGGAAACUGUACAGACUAUUACAAAAGUACCAAUAAAGGAGAGAUUGGGUUUUAUUGCAAAACACUCUCCUCCCACCACCGAAAAGGUAAUGUCCACCUCUACAGGACUUACAAAAACCUUUUCCAACCCAGAAGCUUUAAAAGCCAUUCAAAAAUCCGUAAUAUACCCUACUGCAGUGGACAACACUGAUGCACAGAAAAAGAAACAGGAAGCACUAAAACUGCAACAAGAUGUAAGGAAGAAAAAGCAGGAAAUUUUGGAAAAACAUAUAGAAACACAGAAGAUGCUUAUAACAAAGUUGGAGAAAAAUAAGGGCACAAAGUCAGAUGACAAAGCGGAAAUUCUGAAAACCCUGGAAACCCUGACAAACCGUAUUACCAAACUAAGAGAUGAGCUGAAAGCAGUCUCCUCUUCUGGAAAUCCUUUGAAGAGUAGUAAAAGUAAAACUCAGAUGCAAAAGGAACUACUUGACACCGAGCUCGACUUGUACAAGAAACUUCAGGCGGGAGACGAUGUAGCAGAAUUAAGGCGGAAAUAUACAGAACUACAGCUUGAGGCUGCAAAGCGUGGUAUUCUUUCUUCUGGACGUGGAAGAGGGGCACACAUGAGAGGAAGAGGAAUGUCACGUGGAAGAGGCAGAGGCAGAGGCCGCGGCCGCGGUGUCUCAGUCCAUGCUGUGGUGGAUCACCGUCCAAAAGCACUAGAGAUCUUUGGGUUUAGUGAAAAUGAUAGGGAAGAUCUCCUUCCUCACUUUGCACAAUUUGGCGAGAUUGAAGACUGCCAGAUGGACCACUCUUCUCUUCGUUCUGUAAUCGUCUUCAAAACGAGAGCAGAAGCCGAGGCCGCUGCAAUCCAUGGAGCUCAUUUCAAAGGACAGAACUUAAAAUUAGCUUGGAGUAAACCAGUAGCAAAUCCAAGCAGUGCAGAAGUGGAAGAUGUAGAGCCGGAGGAGGAAGAUUUUCCAGAAGAGACUGCAGUGGAUGACUCUUUGCUGCAGGAUGAUGAUGAGGAGGAAGAGGAAAAUGAGCCUCGUUCUUGGAGGAGAUGAUUCCUUUUUGCCUUUGUGAUUGAGCUCUCGAUAUCUGGACUGCCGUUUAGUUGAACUAAAGCACUUUUCCAUGGGAUGUGUUCCUGCAUUUCUGUGUGAAAAGAUAUGCUGGACGAUUGGCUUGAACUCAGGACGUGAAAGCCUUCUGUAGUUGUCACAUUUCAGUAAAUGAUUGCACAAUGCAUCAUCAUAGACACAUAUGCAAUGGUUUUAUUACUUACACUUUGCUGGGUGUACAGUUUAGUUUUUAAGUUAAGGAAGUUGUGAAAAUGCAAUUUAACUUUUUUUUUCCUCACAAAGAAUUUGCUUUAAAAUCUAUGAAUGUUUUCAGACAUAAGUAGAUGAAUGCUAAAAUGGAAAUCUCAGUUGCUUAUGAAUACAUAAUGCAUAGUGUAGGCUUUACUAUGUAGUAGCCUUUUUGUUGAGCUCAUUUUGUGUACGUAACUUACGUAUUGGGUUUUAAAAACGUUGUUCAAAUGCUUUGCAAAAAAGUCCAUGUGACUUCAGUAUGUGCAAAAAAAAAAUAAAGUGGAAUGGUCCAAGAAAGAUGACAAAAACUAUAAUGAAAAUCCAGAUCUGUUGACAAAUGAAACAAAAAAAAAAAAAAAGUAAAAAAAAAAAACGUAAAAAAAAAAAUACAAAAACCAUUCCAAUGGUUUAACUGUAAAUAUUUGUUGUUAUGAUAAAUGACACCUCCAUUUCCUGUGCAACAUUUUCUGCAUUUUCUGAUAUGGAAAAUACGUUGUGUUACAUCGUGAUCGGGUGCCGUCUGUCAGACAGAAACGUGUACCAUGUGGGCGACCAUCCACCUGAAUUGAGAAAAACAAGACAAUGUUGGUGAUGUGGAUUAAGAGUUUUAGAACAUUGCCUGUUGCAAGUACUUUCUCCAAAAAACAGGUAGCGCAUGCUUCGUUAGUUUUUGUGUGUAAAGGGGGGUUUGUUGUACAUUGCCCAAGAAGACUUCAAUGCCUUCCACUGAACUUUUUUGUCUAGAUUUCAUUUUACAAAUAGUUUUUAUUUCAGUUUUAGCCAUUUUUCCCAAUUCUAGUGUGUUAGUGUUCUCUACAAAGUACAACUUUUGCAACUUAGCUUCCAGCCUUAAAUCUUAAAGCCCAUGAGAUAAAAUGCAGUUACAGAAGGGAGGACCAGACUUAACCAUGCAUCACACCUUUAAUAAAACACAGUGGACAUGAAGACUUCCACCAUCUAUAAAACCUCCUGGUGGUAACAUAGAUCAACUCCUGGUGGGAGAACGUGUAAUGCAGGGAUGUGUCCUAGAAGUGAUGCAAGAAGAAAUAUUUCUAUGAUAGAAUAUGAUUUGUUUUCAUUAAACCUAAAGGGUCACUUUGCUUUCAGGAAACUUUUGAUAUGUCAUAGAAAAAAGUUUUGUUCAGUGGUGGGAUCCCUAGAAGGAGGAAAGAGAGGAGCUCUCUUAUUGCACGUGAGGAAAUGAGACGGACUCAAUAACAAGUCUUUGGAGCCAUCUCAAUUCUGUGUCCUGCAGCUUGGAGACUGAGCGCGAUAUGCGAGCACUUCUCCCCUCGUUUUAGAGAUUGGUGAGAGUCUCACUCCUCUGACUCUCACCAAUCCAAAUUUUUGAUUUCUCUAUUAAAAGUUUUAAAAAAAAAACUGAAUAACCAUUUAACCCAGUGUUUUUCUUCAGGCAUGGCAGCAAUUAUUCAUUAAGUUGUGUUUCUUUUUGGCACCAACACUGCUUAGCAGAAACCAAAAUGCAAAUGAGCCUCUGCUGAGCUACAAAGGUCGUUAUCUGGGGGUGGAAAUGUCAGAUCUGGGCAUUGUGCAGUUGGAUGUUCUAAAUGCCACCGAGGCACAGUACCUGCACACAGUUUACACUAAUUGCCCAGAUGAACUUUUUCCUGCUGCUGUUUCAAGUACAAAUAGUGGUCAUCAGCCCCAAAUGUGUAAUAGUGCUCCUAGUGGUUUUCUAAAGCAGACAAGGUCUGUAAUAAUUUACAUUUAUUAGAUGGUUUGUCUGGGAAUUUAUAUUGAUGGCCUUUCCUCAAUAUCAGAUUGGUGGGGGUCCAACACACAGGACCCCUGCAGUUUCUUCAUAGGCCACUGAGCACAGCUGCUAUACAAUGUACAGCUCUGUGCUUGGAAGGCUGCCGGGAGCUCCGGUGAGUGCAGCAGCUGAUCGGCGAGGACCCCGCUGAUGUCAUAAUGAUGACCUAUCCUGAGAAUAGGUCGUCAUUAUCAAUUCCUGGAUAACAUCGUUAAUCCUUUUAUUAUCUGUAGGUUAUCGUCUGCUUCUUGUAAACCAAGAAUAUAAGUGCAGAGUUUCAUUCACGGCUUGUUUCUCUCUUGCAGGUUGAUCCUUCUGUUUUGGUGGUAUCCCAUAAAGCAGCAACACACACAUUUGCACUACUAAACAGUGGAUUUUCCCUGUUGUCUGACACACAAUUGUUUUUCUUCUGUACAUUAGUCAAAUACGUUUUCUUCCUACUUGGUUAUCUGCAGUCUUUAGUGCUGUAACUAAAACAGUUCCCAUCUUAAUCAAAGCUCAGACUAAUAGCAUGGAAUCAUUCAGUUUAUGAAGUAAGUAUAAAUCUUGUACAUCUUUAGAGAAUCCACAUACAUAGAAAAGUGCCUGAUUUGAGCAGGUGUCGAUGUACAGACUGUAUACACCUGAAAGGUCUGCAGGAAGCUACAUAUGGAGCUGUACAAGUGUGCAUAGGUAAAAAAAGAUUAUCAAAGGGUAUAAACACCUUUGCUAUGAUAUAUUUUUUUGCUUCAUAAAUGCGACAUUAAACAACUUUUUUUUUUUAAAUAGUUUUCAUUAAAAAUUUCCUACCAUUUUGCUUUUGCUGUUUGUGUGUGUAAGUCCUUCACCAAGCUACUUAUUAUCCAGAACCUGACAUAAAUCCAUGAGAACUCGGCUCCAAUUUCGACAGCUCUUUCCCUGCCU